UAGCUAGUUGGUGAGGUAAAGGCUUACCAAGGCGACGAUCUGUAGCGGGUCUGAGAGGAUGAUCCGCCACACUGGAACUGAGACACGGUCCAGACUCCUACGGGAGGCAGCAGUGGGGAAUUUUGGACAAUGGGGGCAACCCUGAUCCAGCCAUGCCGCGUGAGUGAAGAAGGCCUUCGGGUUGUAAAGCUCUUUCGGCCGGGAAGAAAUCGCAUGGGCCAAUACCCUGUGUGGAUGACGGUACCGGAAUAAGAAGCACCGGCUAACUACGUGCCAGCAGCCGCGGUAAUACGUAGGGUGCGAGCGUUAAUCGGAAUUACUGGGCGUAAAGCGUGCGCAGGCGGUUUUGUAAGACAGGCGUGAAAUCCCCGGGCUUAACCUGGGAACUGCGUUUGUGACUGCAAGGCUAGAGUACGGCAGAGGGGGGUGGAAUUCCACGUGUAGCAGUGAAAUGCGUAGAGAUGUGGAGGAACACCAAUGGCGAAGGCAGCCCCCUGGGUCGAUACUGACGCUCAUGCACGAAAGCGUGGGUAGCAAACAGGAUUAGAUACCCUGGUAGUCCACGCCCUAAACUAUGUCAACUAGGUGUUGGGUGGGUAAAACCAUUUAGUACCGUAGCUAACGCGUGAAGUUGACCGCCUGGGGAGUACGGCCGCAAGGUUAAAACUCAAAGGAAUUGACGGGGACCCGCACAAGCGGUGGAUGAUGUGGAUUAAUUCGAUGCAACGCGAAAAACCUUACCUACCCUUGACAUGCCAGGAACUUGCCAGAGAUGGCUUGGUGCCCGAAAGGGAGCCUGGACACAGGUGCUGCAUGGCUGUCGUCAGCUCGUGUCGUGAGAUGUUGGGUUAAGUCCCGCAACGAGCGCAACCCUUGUCGUUAAUUGCCAUCAUUUAGUUGGGCACUUUAACGAGACUGCCGGUGACAAACCGGGGGAAGGUGGGGAUGACGUCAAGUCCUCAUGGCCCUUAUGGGUAGGGCUUCACACGUCAUACAAUGGUCGGUACAAAGGGUUGCCAAGCCGCGAGGCGGAGCCAAUCCCAGAAAGCCGAUCGUAGUCCGGAUUGCAGGCUGCAACUCGCCUGCAUGAAGUCGGAAUCGCUAGUAAUCGUGGAUCAGCAUGUCACGGUGAAUACGUUCCCGGGUCUUGUACACACCGCCCGUCACACCAUGGGAGCGGGUUCCGCCAGAAGUAGGUAGCCUAACCGCAAGGGGGGCGCUUACCACGGCGGGGUUCGUGACUGGGGUUAAGUCGAAACAAGGUAGCCGUAGGGGAACCUGCGGCUG
Molecule: ribosomal RNA, 1287 nt
Filed under: metagenome
Description: bacterial SSU rRNA
Rfam family: Bacterial small subunit ribosomal RNA
Source: RNAcentral